AUUAAUAAGCUACUCUUAAUUUACUUUUUAAUAUAUAAAUAUAAUUAAAAUAUAUUAUGUAAUAUUUUAAUUUUUCGCGUGAUUUCGAUUAUAGAAUUUGCUUACGCCAGCCAAUCAGAAAGCCGUUAGGCGAACUGUAGCGUACGGCGUCAGUCUCCUGUGGAAAGUCAUCGUGAUAGGACGCGUAUUUGUAACUAGCUUUGCUGAUUUGAAUACGCAAUAUUUCCAUUUCUUCGUAUUCGAUGGCUAUUUUGCAAUGAUAUUCUAUAGAUUACAGCAACAUUGAUGACAGAGUAGAUUUUUGCAUUUAUUGAGAUCAAUGUGGAAUCAAUGUGGAAUUAAUAAAGGAUUCUUAUAUUCAUAUUAUCUUCUGGUUUUAUUGAGAUUUUUUGGUAGAUAGACUUCCUAAAUAAAUCUUUAAAUUAUUGUGUAAGAAAAUUAUUUCUUUUAGAUUUGAGUAUUAAAACGAGUAUUAGUUAAUUAUGUAGAUAGGGAAUAGAAUUGUAGAUUUAGAUGAUAUUAUUUCAAUAUUUCUUAAAUCAGGUCAUAUUGUAAAUUUCAUUUACAAAUAUUUUUAAAUUUAAUUAAGUUAAAGAAUUUAUGAAAUUUUUCCAAGUAAAAGAUUUAAAAUAUAAAUAAUAAUAAUAAUAAUAUUAAUAAUAUAAUAAACUUAUAGCACUACAGAAAUACUGUUUAAAGUAUAUUUAUAAAUGCAUGCAUAAUAAAUGAUAAUAGUAAUGAUUGUAGCUGCUAUUAAAAGUGAUGGUAGUCAAUAAAAAUAAAUAUAACUCUGUGUGGAAUA
Molecule: long non-coding RNA, 802 nt
Organism: Apis laboriosa (Himalayan honeybee)
Lineage: Eukaryota; Metazoa; Arthropoda; Insecta; Hymenoptera; Apidae
Exons: 3
Source: RefSeq, a predicted model, not a curated record